RNAcentral lists this ribosomal RNA (462 nucleotides) under uncultured bacterium. RNAcentral's name for it is "partial 16S ribosomal RNA". It matches the Rfam family "Bacterial small subunit ribosomal RNA", at positions 28 to 507 of the family's 1533-position model. The record is from RNAcentral.
GAUGAACGCUGACAGAAUGCUUAACACAUGCAAGUCUUUGGCGAAGCUGUGCUUGCACAGCCUAGCCAAGGCGGACGGGUGAGUAACGCGUAAGGAACUUGCCCUGCAGUCAGGGAUAACAGACGGAAACGACUGAUAAGACCUGGUAAAGUCAGGCGGACUCAUGUCCAGCCUGAUGAAAAGAGAUGCUGCAGGAGAGCCUUGCGUCCUAUUAGCUUGUUGGUGAGGUAACGGCCCACCAAGGCGAUGAUAGGUAGCCGGCCUGAGAGGGUGGACGGCCACAAGGGGACUGAGAUACGGCCCUUACUCCUACGGGAGGCAGCAGUGGGGAAUAUUGGACAAUGGGGGCAACCCUGAUCCAGCAAUUCUGUGUGCACGAUGAAGGUUUUCGGAUUGUAAAGUGCUUUCAGCAGGGAAGAAAAAAUGACGGUACCUGCAGAAGAAGCGACGGCUAAAUACGUG